RNAcentral lists this ribosomal RNA (477 nucleotides) under uncultured bacterium. RNAcentral's name for it is "bacterial SSU rRNA". It matches the Rfam family "Bacterial small subunit ribosomal RNA", at positions 857 to 1337 of the family's 1533-position model. The record is from RNAcentral.
GCGUUAAGCAACCCACCUGGGGAGUACGCCGGCAACGGUGAAACUCAAAGGAAUUGACGGGGGCCCGCACAAGCGGAGGAACAUGUGGUUUAAUUCGAUGAUACGCGAGGAACCUUACCCGGGCUUGAAAUGUACCUGACGGGAGGCAGAGACGCCUUCUUUCUUCGGACAGGUAUGUAGGUGCUGCAUGGUUGUCGUCAGCUCGUGCCGUGAGGUGUCGGCUUAAGUGCCAUAACGAGCGCAACCCUUCCCGCCGGUUACCAUCAUUAGGUUGGGGACUCCGGCGGCACUGCCACCGCAAGGUGUGAGGAAGGCGGGGAUGACGUCAAAUCAGCACGGCCCUUACGUCUGGGGCCACACACGUGUUACAAUGGGGGGCACAGAAAGCUGGAUGCCGGCGACGGCAUUCGAAUCAUCAAAUCCCCUCCCAGUUCGGACUGGAGUCUGCAACCCGACUCCACGAAGCUGGAUUCGCUA